This is a ribosomal RNA of 521 nucleotides. It matches the Rfam family "Bacterial large subunit ribosomal RNA", at positions 1 to 514 of the family's 2925-position model.
AGAUUAAGUUAUUAAGGGCGCACGGUGGAUGCCUUGGCACUAGAAGCCGAUGAAGGACGUUACUAACGACGAUAUGCUUUGGGGAGCUGUAAGUAAGCUUUGAUCCAGAGAUUUCCGAAUGGGGAAACCCAGCAUGAGUUAUGUCAUGUUAUCGAUAUGUGAAUACAUAGCAUAUCAGAAGGCACACCCGGAGAACUGAAACAUCUUAGUACCCGGAGGAAGAAAAAGAAAAUUCGAUUCCCUUAGUAGCGGCGAGCGAAACGGGAAGAGCCCAAACCAACAAGCUUGCUUGUUGGGGUUGUAGGACACUCUAUACGGAGUUACAAAGGACGACAUUAGACGAAUCAUCUGGAAAGAUGAAUCAAAGAAGGUAAUAAUCCUGUAGUCGAAAAUGUUGUCUCUCUUGAGUGGAUCCUGAGUACGACGGAACACGUGAAAUUCCGUCGGAAUCUGGGAGGACCAUCUCCUAAGGCUAAAUACUCUCUAGUGACCGAUAGUGAACCAGUACCGUGAGGGAAAGG